CUUCCCCAGAAUCACCUGUAGGCCAAAAAGGCAGUGGUGAGAUGCUUGCCCUGUGCCCUGGAGGCUUUGGAAUCACCAUGGAAACAAACCCUCUGAGCAUGUCUGUGGAGUGGUCUCUAGAUUGGGCUAAUUGAGGAAGGAAGACACACAUUGAAUGUGAGGUCUGCCAUCACACAGCCUGGGGUCCUGGACAGAAUGGAUAAAGAGAAAGUGAGCUGAGCAAAGACAUCCAUCUCUCCCUGCUUCCUGAUGCAUCAAUGUAACUCCACCUCCAUCCUUCUCCACCAUAGAUGUAUCUUCACACACUGAGCCUAAAGAGCGCCUCUUUAAGUCAUUUUUUGUCAUACCUGUCAUAGCAACAACACAGAACUCUAGUAUCUAGGUGAAGAAAUGUAUGAUCCAACAGGGUGUCACUGUCCCAUGCAGCAGGUGCAUAUGAUGGACCACCCAGGAGGAGGAAGGUGGGGGUACCAGCAGGCCCAUAGCCAGUGCUGUAGUUCAUGGCGUCUGUCCAGAACUGAGGUGUGUCCUUCCAAACUCAGAUGGUGCAGUUCUAACCAUGAUGUGAUUGUGUGGAGAUGACACUCAUGAGGGGUAACUAAGG
This is a non-coding RNA of Peromyscus maniculatus bairdii (prairie deer mouse), 604 nucleotides long. Lineage: Eukaryota; Metazoa; Chordata; Mammalia; Rodentia; Cricetidae. The record is from RefSeq and is a predicted model, not a curated record.